AAUGAACGCUGGCGGCGCGCCUAAUACAUGCAAGUCGAGCGAGAAGACGUAGCAAUACGUUUGUAAAGCGGCGAACGGGUGAGGAAUACAUGGGUAACCUACCCUCGAGUGGGGAAUAACUAGCCGAAAGGUUAGCUAAUACCGCGUACGCUUCUUGGACUUCGGUUCAGGGAGGAAAGCGAUACCGUGGGUAUCGCGCUCUUGGAUGGGCUCAUGUCCUAUCAGCUUGUUGGUGAGGUAACGGCUCACCAAGGCUUCGACGGGUAGCUGGUCUGAGAGGACGAUCAGCCACACUGGCACUGCGACACGGGCCAGACUCCUACGGGAGGCAGCAGUAAGGAAUAUUGCGCAAUGGGCGAAAGCCUGACGCAGCGACGCCGCGUGGGGGAUGAAGGUCUUCGGAUUGUAAACCCCUUUCGGGAGGGAAGAUGGAACGAGCAAUCGUUCGGACGGUACCUCCAGAAGCA
This 467-nucleotide ribosomal RNA is filed under the name uncultured bacterium. Its description in RNAcentral is "bacterial SSU rRNA". It matches the Rfam family "Bacterial small subunit ribosomal RNA", at positions 29 to 489 of the family's 1533-position model. The record is from RNAcentral.